UACGUAGGUUGCGAGCGUUGUCCGGAUUUACUGGGCGUAAAGCGCGCGCAGGCGGAUUCGAAAGUCCACGGUGAAAGCUCCCGGCCCAACUGGGAGAGGCCCGUGGAAACUCCGGAUCUUGAAGGCAGGAGAGGCAAAUGGAAUUUCCGGUGUAGCGGUAAAAUGCGUAGAUACCGGAAGGAACACCAGUGGCGAAGGCGAUUUGCUGGCCUGUUCUUGACGCUCAGGCGCGAAAGCUAGGGGAGCGACCGGG
Molecule: ribosomal RNA, 253 nt
Filed under: uncultured bacterium
Lineage: Bacteria
Description: partial 16S ribosomal RNA
Rfam family: Bacterial small subunit ribosomal RNA
Source: RNAcentral